AUGGGUCUCAUACAAUGGCAGUAUGUCGGUCUCCAAAACCGAUCAUUGUGGUUCGAAUCCACAGGCCCGUGCCA
This 74-nucleotide transfer RNA is filed under the name Clostridia bacterium. RNAcentral's name for it is "tRNA-Trp". It matches the Rfam family "tRNA". From Rfam's summary of the family: Transfer RNA (tRNA) molecules are approximately 80 nucleotides in length. Lineage: Bacteria; Bacillati; Bacillota; Clostridia. The record is from RNAcentral.